AUGGCGGGGUGGUUACUAUGGUUCCUUAGGUCGUAUUUGAUGGCCCGUAAAAUUUAUAGGCGAUCGGGGUUCAGGGUUCCCGGGACCCCUUGGUAGGCGUGGGCUAAUGCACACGAAAAUAUGGAAAUCAUGCGAAAUUCUAGUUUUUUGGCUGAAAAACACAAAAUACUAGGAACGAUCAUGGCGGGGCGGUGACUAUGGUUCCUUAGGUUGUAUUUGAUAGUCCGGAAAAUUUUUAGGCGAUCCGGCUCCGGGGGGCCCGACCCACUCAGAAGGCGUGGGCGAUAUAGCACACAAAAAUAUGGGAAUCGGGAGUAAUUCUAGUUUUUUGGCCAAAAAAUGCAAAAAAUGAGGAACGAUCAUGGCGAUUCGGUGACUAUGGUUCCUUAGGUCUUAAUUGAUGGCCCGAAAUCUUUUUAGGCGAUCCGAGACCGGCGACCCGGCCCACUCGGAAGGCGUGGGCGGAAUUCUAGAUUUUUUGGCCGAAAAAUGCAAUAAAUGAGGAACGAUCAUGGUGGGGUGGUGACUAUGGUUCCUUAGGUCUUAUUUGAUAGUCCGGAAAAAUAUUAGGCGAUAGGGGUCAGGAGGUCCCAGGACCACUCGGAAGGCGUGGGCUAUAACACACAAAAAUA
This 632-nucleotide long non-coding RNA is filed under the name Nicotiana tabacum (common tobacco). RNAcentral's name for it is "long non-coding RNA (NTAB_LNC008616)". Lineage: Eukaryota; Viridiplantae; Streptophyta; Magnoliopsida; Solanales; Solanaceae. The record is from RNAcentral.